AACGUCGAGCUCAAGAAAAAAUAUGAAAUAAAUUCCGAGUGUGGAAGAUUCCGAACAAGCGGAUGUUUUCGAAAGGUCAGAAAUUAUUGAUACAACUGCAUCUGUGUCAAAGGAGAAUCAUUGCCCGGAUGAUUUUUUACAAAGUCCGGAAGUGAAAAAUUUGACUUUUCUACGCCAGAAGUUACAGCUAAUGUUCCUAAGACAAACCAGGCUUUCCUGAGUUCUGAUCUGGACAUUUCAGUUAUUGACUCUGACGUAGAAGGUAGAAAUACAAGCUCUCUUUUUUGGGGUAAAU
This is a long non-coding RNA of Stegodyphus dumicola, 295 nucleotides long. The record is from RefSeq and is a predicted model, not a curated record. Lineage: Eukaryota; Metazoa; Arthropoda; Arachnida; Araneae; Eresidae.